This 257-nucleotide ribosomal RNA is filed under the name uncultured bacterium. Its description in RNAcentral is "partial 16S ribosomal RNA". It matches the Rfam family "Bacterial small subunit ribosomal RNA", at positions 524 to 776 of the family's 1533-position model. The record is from RNAcentral.
UACGAGGGGGGCAAGCGUUUGUUCGGAUUUAUUGGGCGUAAAGGGUGCGUAGGCGGUUUGGCAAGUCUUGUGUGAAAUCUUUGGGCUCAACCCAAAGCCUGCAUAAGAAACUGCCGGGCUUGAGUAUGGGAGAGGUGAGUGGAAUUUCCGGUGUAGCGGUGAAAUGCGUAGAGAUCCGGAAGAACACCGGUGGCGAAGGCGGCCUGCUGGGCAGUUUUGCUGACACUGAGGCGCGACGAGCGUGGGGAGCAAACAGG